This 560-nucleotide ribosomal RNA is filed under the name Blastocystis sp. DM17. RNAcentral describes it as "SSU rRNA". It matches the Rfam family "Eukaryotic small subunit ribosomal RNA", at positions 21 to 607 of the family's 1831-position model. Lineage: Eukaryota; Bigyra; Opalinata; Blastocystidae. The record is from RNAcentral.
AGUCAUACGCUCGUCUCAAAGAUUAAGCCAUGCAUGUGUAAGUAUAAAUAGUUAACUUUGAAACUGCGAAUGGCUCAUUAUAUCAGUUAUAGUUUAUUUGAUGAAGAAUACUAAUUGGAUAACCGUAGUAAUUCUAGAGCUAAUACAUGUAUAAAGUCUUGUAGACUGCAUUUAUUAGAAUGAAAACCAUAGGUUUCGGCCUAUUCGUGAGUAAUAAUAACUAAUCAUAUCGUAUGCUUAAGUAACGAUGUGUCUUUCAAGUUUCUGCCCUAUCAGCUUUCGAUGGUAGUGUAUUGGACUACCAUGGCAGUAACGGGUAACGAAGAAUUUGGGUUCGAUUUCGGAGAGGGAGCCUGAGAGAUGGCUGCCACAUCCAAGGAAGGCAGCAGGCGCGUAAAUUACCCAAUCCUGACACAGGGAGGUAGUGACAAUAAAUCACAAUGCGGAACAAUGUUUUGCAAUUGGAUUGAGAACAACGUACAAACCUUAUCGAUAAACAAUUGGAGGGCAAGUCUGGUGCCAGCAGCCGCGGUAAUUCCAGCUCCAAUAGCGUAUAUUAA